AUGGUUGUCGUCAGCUCGUGUCGUGAGAUGUGGGUUAAGUCCCGCAACGAGCGCAACCCCUAUUGUUAGUUGCCAUCAUUCAGUUGGGCACUCUAGCGAGACUGCCGGUAAUAAACCGGAGGAAGGUGGGGAUGACGUCAAAUCAUCAUGCCCCUUAUGACCUGGGCUACACACGUGCUACAAUGGUUGGUACAACGAGUUGCGAGUCGGUGACGGCGAGCUAAUCUCUUAAAGCCAAUCUCAGUUCGGAUUGUAGGCUGCAACUCGCCUACAUGAAGUCGGAAUCGCUAGUAAUCGCGGAUCAGCACGCCGCGGUGAAUACGUUCCCGGGCCUU
Molecule: ribosomal RNA, 335 nt
Filed under: uncultured Streptococcus sp.
Lineage: Bacteria; Bacillati; Bacillota; Bacilli; Lactobacillales; Streptococcaceae
Description: bacterial SSU rRNA
Rfam family: Bacterial small subunit ribosomal RNA
Source: RNAcentral